CAAUAGCGUAUAUUUAAGUUGUUGCAGUUAAAAAGCUCGUAGUUGGAUUUCGGAUGGGACUUGCCGGUCCGUCGUUUCGAUGUGCACUGGCCAGUCCUAUCUUGUUGUCGGGGACUAGCUCCUGGGCUUCACUGUCCGGGACUAGGAGCUGACGAGGUUACUUUGAGUAAAUUAGAGUGUUCAAAGCAAGCCUACGCUCUGAAUACAUUAGCAUGGAAUAACACGAUAGGACUCUGGCUUAUCUUGUUGGUCUGUGAGACCAGAGUAAUGAUUAAGAGGGACAGUCGGGGGCAUUCGUAUUUCAUUGUCAGAGGUGAAAUUCUUGGAUUUAUGAAGGACGAACUUCUGCGAAAGCAUUUGUCAAGGAUGUUUUCAUUAA
RNAcentral lists this ribosomal RNA (379 nucleotides) under uncultured eukaryote. Its description in RNAcentral is "partial 18S ribosomal RNA". It matches the Rfam family "Eukaryotic small subunit ribosomal RNA", at positions 592 to 976 of the family's 1831-position model. The record is from RNAcentral.